RNAcentral lists this ribosomal RNA (565 nucleotides) under uncultured fungus. RNAcentral describes it as "eukaryotic LSU rRNA". The stretch from base 204 to 357 matches the Rfam family "5.8S ribosomal RNA". Lineage: Eukaryota; Fungi. The record is from RNAcentral.
CGUACAGGUCUCCGUAGGUGAACCUGCGGAGGGAUCAUUACACAAUACAAUAUGAAGGCCGUACGCGGCUGGAUUAUUUUAUUACCCUCGUCUUUUGCGCACUUGUUGUUUCCUGGGCGGGUUCGCCCGCCACCAGGACCACACCAUAAACCUUUUUUAUGCAGUUGCAAUCAGCGUCAGUACAACAAAUGUAAAUCAUUUACAACUUUCAACAACGGAUCUCUUGGUUCUGGCGUCGAUGAAGAACGCAGCGAAAUGCGAUACGUAGUGUGAAUUGCAGAAUUCAGUGAAUCAUCGAAUCUUUGAACGCACAUUGCGCCCUUUGGUAUUCCAAAGGGCAUGCCUGUUCGAGCGUCAUUUGUACCCUCAAGCUUUGCUUGGUGUUGGGCGUUUUUUGUCUUUGGUUGCCAAAGACUCGCCUUAAAACGAUUGGCAGCCGGCCUCCUGGUUUCGCAGCGCAGCACAUUUUUGCGCUUGCAAUCAGCAACAGAGGGCGGCACUCCAUCAAGACUCCAUUUUCACGUUUGACCUCGGAUCAGGUAGGGAUACCCGCUGAACUUAAGCA